CCGCCUCGCGAGUUGCAAUUCUUCAUCAAAUGCUGGUGCGAGUACGCGCGACACUCGUCCCACGAGAGCCUUGGCGGUGGAUUGAGAGGCGCCGAUGGUGGAGGCGAGUGGAUCGAGCAGCGCCGACGGUGGAGGCGAGGUGAAUUUGUUUGCACCGCUCGCUUACUCUGUGCUUGACAGGCUGAAGUCUCUGGACCGGUUGACUCAGAUUUCUUCUCUCAUGUGUAUUGGGGAUUGUGAUUACCGGAGCCGAGUCGCGAGGAGGUCGUCCCGAAGGCGAGGGUCGAGGAUCGCGAUUCCUUGGACGAGGUUAAGCGGAGCUCUCCUGAUUACCGAGUGACAGUAAUCUAGUUGGCAACAACUUUGCAUUGGACAACUCUGACAGAAGGUUUUGCUAGUUUGCAACUGUGAUGUGCUUUUUUAAUAUGGCGACAAGAAGAAUGAGGCCAACAACUUCUAAAUCAAGUGGUGUAACUCCUAAUGAGGUCGAAUCAGAGUUAACCUGCUAUUGUGGUCUUCGAUCACCACUUCUUAUUGCAAAAACAAAGAAAAACGCAGGAAGAAGGUUCUAUGGAUGUGCUAGGUUUGAUGGUCCAGGUUGUUGCAAUUUCUUCAUGUGGGUUGACCAAAAAAUACCGGAUCAAGUGAGGGACAUGAUAAUCGAACUGCUUGAAAGAAAUCAAGCACUAUCGGAGUCAAGCCAAUCCAGA
Molecule: long non-coding RNA, 710 nt
Organism: Eucalyptus grandis
Lineage: Eukaryota; Viridiplantae; Streptophyta; Magnoliopsida; Myrtales; Myrtaceae
Exons: 3
Source: RefSeq, a predicted model, not a curated record